CUAAUCCUGUAAUCCACCUGUUUCAGUAUUCAGUUAGUAACAGACACUGCUCAGUUAGCUAAGAUUACUAACACCUCUGUCCAGAAAUUAAGACUUCAAAGUAACCAAUUUACACCUACUGAACGGAAUCAAUUUGAAAUGUUAAUGACAACAUUCAGUACAGCUGGAAUAAAGUUUAAAAAUCUCCAGAGGUUAACUCAAAACAUGGAGCGACAGGCGCUUAACAGGGCAAGACAGGUACAUGUACUAAUAUUAUGAGCAUACUCACAUACGUGCACAUGUAAACCAUUUGUAAAAGGAAACUAGGUUCAUGUAGAUCUACUAAUUCACAUGUAAAUGUUACCAUAAUACAUUUGAUGUACAGUGUAUGUGUACAUUAAUUGAUACAAGGUCUUAGAAACACAAGUUAGUAUAGUACAUGUACAUGUACAUGCUUAGUGCUCUUAACGAAUCUCAGUUCAUAGUAUUAUAAUGUAUGUGGAUAACAGAGCCUGAAAUAACAGUCAGACAUUGAACAUUUUCUGACCAUUUGCUCAAUUGUUCAACCAAAUUCUGUCUUCUACCAUUUUGUCUGAACUAUAUAAUUUUUGAAAUAAAUUUAUUAAAAGCAAAGUAAUGCAACAACAUGUUCUCCCACAAAGCAUGCUUAUAGUGAACAGGAGCUUCAGGAGCUGACAAGUACUACAAUAGAGUCGUGGCAUUUGGAGCAACUUUUAAAAUUCAUAAAAAAUCCAAAUUCAAUCGGAAUUAGCCCAAACUUUCU
Amphimedon queenslandica is the source of this 763-nucleotide long non-coding RNA. RefSeq lists it as uncharacterized. The transcript has 3 exons. The record is from RefSeq and is a predicted model, not a curated record. NCBI's taxonomy places the organism in Eukaryota, Metazoa, Porifera, Demospongiae, Haplosclerida, Niphatidae.